RNAcentral lists this long non-coding RNA (6366 nucleotides) under Homo sapiens (human). RNAcentral describes it as "HSALNT0009359". The record is from RNAcentral. Lineage: Eukaryota; Metazoa; Chordata; Mammalia; Primates; Hominidae.
AUUUAUUUACUUCAAGAGUUAAGAGUGGCGGUUUGGGGAUAGCACGAGGAGAUAUCAGCUGUGAUGGCUUGGAGAAACAGUGUAAACCGGCAGUGUAAACAAGAGCAGGGCAUGUAUGAGUAGUUGAGAACGGAGAAUAGGAGUAUGACUAGACAGAAGAUAGUAGGGAUGACAAGUUUUUUUUGGGGCACACUCUAAGUUGGUCCGGUGUUUGGAAUGAGACUGGGGCCUAAUAAAAAGGAGCAUCUAUACAGGAGCCCAAAUGGGCUGUACCUUGUAGCAUUCUGAGGACGGGUCUGACUUCUGAGAAGGGAAAGUGGUAAAAGUAUUGUCCAGUUCUUUUUAAGUUGGUGGCUGAGCUUGGUGAGGUGUGUUUUUGAAAGACCUUUAGUCCGUUCUACUUUUCUUGAAGACAGACGACUAUAAGGGAUAUAAAGGUUUCACUGAAUACUAAGAGCCUGAAAAACUGCUUGGCUGAUUUGACUAAUAAAGGUUGGUCUGUUAUCAGACUGUAUAGAGGUGGGAAGGCUAAACUGAGGGAUUAUGUCUGACAGAAGGGAAGAAAUGACUGCAGUGGCCUUCUCAGACCCUGUAGGAAAGGCCUCUACCUAUCUAGUGAAAGUGUCUACUUAGACUAAGAGGUAUUUUAGUUUUUGUGACUCAGGGCAUGUUGAGUAAAGCUAAUUUGCCAGUUCCGGGGGCGGGGGCAGGGGGCAAAUCCUCAAGUUUGAUGUGUAGGGAAGGGAGGGGUCCUGAAUAAUCCUUGAGGAGUAGUAGAAUAGCAGAUAGAAUAGCAGAUGGAACACUGAGAAAUUAUUUCCUUGAGGAUAGAUUUCUACAAUGGAAAGGAAAUGAGAGGUUCUAAGAGGCGGGCUAGUGGCUUGUACUAUAGCAUAGCCUGCCUUUGCUGGUGUGUGGCGAUUAGGCCUGGUGGAACUGCCAUCAAUAAAUCAAGCGUGAUCAGGGUGAGGAACAGGAAAGAAGGAAAUAUGGGGAAAUGUGGUGAAUGUCAGGUGGAUCAGAGACAUACAGUCAUGGGGGUCAGGUGUGGUAUCAGGAAUAAUGUGGGAGGCCAGAUUGAAGUCUGGGCCAGGAACAAUGGUAAUUGUGGGACUUAACAAAGAGUGAGUACAGCUGAAGGAGCCGGGGAGCAGAAAGUAUAUGCAUCAGGUAUGAGGAAGAAAAUAGAUUUUGGAAGUUAUGAGAAAUGUAGAGAGUAAGUUGAGCAUAGUUUAUGAUUUUUAGGGCCUCUAAAAGUAUUAGGGUGGCAGCAGCCGCUGCACGGAGACAUGAGGGCUAGGCUAAAACAGUAAGGUCAAGUUGUUUGGACAGAAAGGCUACAGGGUGCGGUCCUGGCUCUUGUGUAAGAAUUCUGACCACACUAACCAUGCCUAGGAAGGAAAGGAGUUGUUGUUUUGUAAGGGAUUGAGGUUGGGGAGAUUAAUUGGACACGAUCAGCAGGGAGAGCACCUGUGUUUUUAUGAGAAUUAUGCUGAGAUAGGUAACAGAUGAGGGUGAAAUUUGGGCUUGACUGAAGUAAUGGGGGCUGUCUGUGAAGCCUUGCGGCAGUACAGCCCAGGUAAUUUGCUGAGCCUAAUGGGUGUUAGGGUCAGUCCAGCUGAAAGCGAAGAGAGGCUGGGAUGAUGGGUGCAAAGGAAUAGUAAAGAAAACAUGUUUGAGAUCCAGAACAGAAUAAUGGAUUGUGGAGGGAGGUAUUGAGGAUAGGAGAGUAUAUGGGUUUGGCACCAUAGGGUGGAUAGGCAAAACAAUUUGGUUGAUAAGGCAUAGAUCCCGAACUAACUUGGAAGGCUUGUCUGGUUUUAGGACAGGUAUAAUGGGGGAAUUGUAAGGAGAGUUUAUAGGCUUUAAAAGGCCAUGCUGUAGCACGCAAGUGAUAACAGGCUUUAAUCCUUUCAAAGCAUGGUGUGGGAUGAGAUAUUGGCAUUGAGCGGGGUAAGGGUGAUUAGGUUUUAAUGAGAUAGUAAGGGGUGCAUGAUCAGUUACCAAGGAGGGAGUAGAGGUAUCUUAUUCCUGUGGGUUAAGGUGGGGGAAUACAAGAGGAGGACGCAAAGGAGGCUUUGGAUUGGGAAGAAGGGCAGCAAUGAGAUGUAGCUGUAAUCCAGGACUAGUCAGGGAAGCAGAUAAUUUAGUUAAAGUGUCUCGGCCUAAUAAGGGAACUGAGCAGGUGGGGAUAACUAAAAGAGUGCUUAGAAGAGUAUUGUCUCAGUUGGCACCAGAGUUGGGGAGUUUUAAGAGGUUUAGAAGCCUGGCCGUCAAUACCUACAACAGUUACGGAGGCAAGGGAAACAGGCCCUUGAAAAGAAGGUAAUGUGGAGUGGGUAGGCUCCAUAUUGAUUAAGGGGACGGACUUACCUUCCACUGUGAGAGUUACUCGAAGCUCAGCGUCUGUGAUGAUCUAUGGGGCUUUCGAGGUGAUCGGGCAGCGUCAGUCUUCAGCUGCUAAGCCGAGAAGGAGUCAGAGAGCCUUGGGCCAGAAUUCCAGGGGCUCUGGGAGUGCCUGCCAGGCUGGAGGGCAAUGGCGUGGUUUUGCUCACUGCAACCUCCGCCUUCCAGGUUCAAGGAUUCUUCUGCAUCAGCCUUGCAAUUAGCUAGGAAUACAGAAAAAUGGAAGAGGAAGCAACACUUCUCAACUUAUUAUAUGAGGCCAGCAUUGCCUAGUUAUCAAAACCAGAUAUAGUAUAAGAAAAAAAUCUAUAGACCAUUAAAAUGCAAAUUUUAAUAGAGUACUAGAAAAUUGAACCUAUCAAUACAGUUGACCCUUGAGCAACAUGGGUUUCAACUACAUGGAUCCACUUAUAUUAGGAUUUUCUUCUGCAUUUGCCACCUUUGAGAACAAUCUUUCUCUUGCCACCUCUUUCUCAGUUUACUAAAUGUGAAGACGACGAGAAUGAAGACCUUUAUGAUUACCCAUUUUAACUUAAUUCAGUGAAGCUUUUCUGUAAGAUACUGCAAUGGUAGCUACAUAUCAUUAUACAUUUGUCAAAAUUGGUAAAAUAUACAAGACUAAGAAUGGUCCCUAAGGAAAACUAUGGACUUUGGGUGACAAUAAUGUGUCAAUAUAGAUUCAUGGGUUAUAAAAAAUACACCACAGUUUUCAGGAAUGUUGAUAGUGAAGGAGGUUGUAUGUGGGAGGGAACAGUGAGUAUGUGGGAACUCUCUGUACUUUUCUCUCAAUUUUGCUGUGAAACUUAAACAGCUCUAAAAAAAAUAAAAUUUAUUAUUUAAAAAAAAUCCACCACUAAAAAAAACAAGCAAUUCAAUUAAAAAUAAGCAAUAGACUUGAACUGAUACUUUACCAAAGAAAACAUAUGGAUAAUGAUAAAUGUUAUGAAAAGAUGUUCAAUGCCAUUAGACAUUAUGUCAGUGAAAAUGGAAAGAAUGAUGAGAUAUAACUGUAUCUAUGAGAGUGGCUUAUAUAAAAGAGGUACUGACAAUACCAAAUGCCAAUGAGAAUGCAGAGCAACUAUCUCUUACAUUGCUGUUAGAAAUGCAAAAUAGUAGCCUUUCAGGAAAACAGCUUGACAGUUCUAAUAAACAUGCACAUAAUAUAUGACUCAUCAAACUUACUUUUAGAUAUUUACUCUGGAGAAAUGAGAACUUAUGCUCACAGAAAACCCAUGUAAGAACAUUCUAUUUAUAAUCACUUGAAAGAACUGAAACAUCCUUCAAUCAGCUAAUGAAUAGAAAACAACUGAAGUGUCCUCCAAUGAGCUAAUGGAUAAAAAAGAAAUAUUUGUGGUACAUCAAUACAAUGGAAUAGUACUCACCUAUUUUUAGAAGAUGAAUGAUAGAGGCACACAACUUCUAUGAAACUCAAAAGUAAUAUGCCGAGUGAAAUAAAGACAAUCACAGGCUGGGCAUGGUGGCUCACGCCUGUAAUCCCAGCACUUUGGGAGGCUGAGGUGGGUGGAUCACGAGGUCAGGAGUUGGAGACCAUCCUGGCUAACAUGGUGAAACCCCGUCUCUACUAAAAAAUACAAAAAAUUAGCCAGGCAUGGUGGCGGACGCCUGUAGUCCCAGCUACUCGGGGGGCUAAGGCAGGAGAAUGGCAUGAACCCGGGAGGUAGAGCUUGCAGUAAGCGGAGACCUGCCACUGCACUCCAGCCUGGGCAACAGAGCAAGACUCCGUUUCGGAAAAGAAAAAAAAAAAAAGACAAUCACAAACAUAUAUGUUUGGUAUUAUUUCAUUUAUAUAACAUCUUCAAAAAUACAAUAAUAUAGAGUUAGGAAACAGAGCAGUGGUCAUCAUGAGAUCAUUGUAGGGGAAGGCAUAAAUUCAAAGGGAUAACAGAGAGUGUUUGGGGGUUAUGGGACUGAUCUAUAUUCUGAUUUUCAUGAUGGUUAUACAUAUGUUAAAAUAUUAGAACUAUACACCAAAAGAAGUGCAACUUACUCUAUGUUAAUUUUUAUUUAUUUUAUUUUUUUUUUAUUAUACUUUAAGUUCUAGGGUACAUGUGCACAACGUGCAGGUUUGUUACAUAUGUAUACAUGUGCCAUGUUGGUGUGCUGCACCCGUUAAUUCAUCAUUUACAUUAGGUAUAUCUCCCAGUGCUAUCCCUCCCCCCUCCCCCCACCCCACAACAGGCCCCAGUGUGUGAUGUUCCCCACCCCGUGUCCAAGUGAGUUCUCAUUGUUCAAUUCCCACCUAUGAGUGAGAACAUGAGGUGUUUGGUUUUCUUUCCUUGCAAUAGUUUGCUCAGAAUGAUGGUUUCCAGCUUCAUCCAUGUCCUUACAAAGGACAUUAACUCAUCCUUUUUUAUGGCUGCAUAGUAUUCCUUGGUGUAUAUGUGUUAAUUUUUAAUUAAUUGAUUAAUUUUCAAUUUUAUUUUUGAGACAAGGUCUUGCUCUGUUAUCCAGGCUGAAGUGUAGUGGCAUGAUCAUGGCUCACUGCAGCCUCGGCCUCCUGGGCUCAAGAGAUUCUCCCACCUCUCCCAGCCUCCAGAGUAGCUGAAACUAUAGGCAUACACCACCAUGCCCAGAUAAUUUUUUUAAAUUUUUUUGUAAAGACAGAAUCCUACUGUGUUGUCCAGGCUCACAUGCUAGUUUAAUAAAAAAAAAACAAAAUGAAACUCUAUGAAUUUGAUGAAAUUAUUAUUCUCAAUUUAUUCCUAAGUGAAGUUAAAAUGUUUUCCCAAGGUCACCUAACCAGUAUGCAUUAGGCUCAGUAAUCAACCUGAAAUAGUCAGAUUCCAUGAGUUAUACUCACGCAGUAGAGAGAAGUUUCAUAAAUUAUUGUUGAAUUAGUGCAGCAGGCAACGAAGAAGCAAUGAAUCAAAAGUCUAAUUACUUUGGACUCUGUUGCCAACAUGUUCAUCUACCUGGCAGGAAUUCUCCCAAGGACCUCAGUUAAGUAAGUCAAUAGAUCCAGGUCAAACAAGACAGAUGGCUAUUUUUGAAAACACAGAUCCCGAUACAACAGCAACAAUAGUACUAGUAAAGGUAAAGAAAGAUUGGAGAUAACCCAACUUAUUCAUUGACUCCCACAGGCACCUGCAACUCCCUUAAGCUCUGCCUCAGGGGGAUGUAGGAAGGCCACACCAGAGCUCAAAUAUGUCAAUCUUUCCCAGUCAGUAGUCAAUGAAGUAAAGUAAAACUAUGAGAACUGCUUACAGACAGUUUUAUGAGAUAAUGUUUUCAAAUUAUAUAUAUAUAUUCAUACAUACACAUAUGUACAAUUAUAUAUGUAAAAUGUAUACACAUAUAUACACACAUAGCCACUAUGCUAUAUGAUUUAAUCUAAAAUAAUAAAAAGGAAAUAUUUUCAAAAUAAUAAUUCUAGAAUGAUUUAGAUUGUUUUUAAAAAGUAACAGAGCAUUGACAUAAUUAGAGUUCAAUCACUGUUUAGAUGAUAGAAUUUUAAUCUAUGAAUAGAAUAAUGAAGAAUCCAACCUGGAAGUGUAUUAAAAUAAAGACUCUAACAUCAGAACAUCUUUUAAUGGAUAUCACCACAGUUAUUGGACAAAGGUGAAAAAAAUUAUUAUUGCAAUUUAUAUAAUUUUUAAAACUUUUCAUGUAAUUCCUGAAGCUAAUUUAAGCAUUCAUAACAUUCUUAUGCAAAGUGCUCUGUUAUAUAUAAAGGUAUUCCCUAUAAUAUGAUUAAGAACAACUAAAAAUAAAGUAUACUUUAUACUUUGCUCAAGAAACUAUGACCUCCUUUUUCAUUUGUUAAAUGCACAGUCUCAUUUCUCCCUCAAAGUCUUUGCCUUUGUUGUUUCUUCCAUUAAUCUCUGCUUGAUGGUCUUUUUCUACAUCCAAGUUUUAGCUCAGAUGUCAACAAAUGGUGGAAAUUUAUUAUUUCUUUUUGGCUGCCCAAUAUUUGAACUUCCAAUCUGGCCAUACCUCAUA